This 209-nucleotide ribosomal RNA is filed under the name uncultured bacterium. RNAcentral's name for it is "partial 16S ribosomal RNA". It matches the Rfam family "Bacterial small subunit ribosomal RNA", at positions 568 to 774 of the family's 1533-position model. The record is from RNAcentral.
AGCGUAGACGGAUGGACAAGUCUGAUGUGAAAGGCUGGGGCUCAACCCCGGGACUGCAUUGGAAACUGCCCGUCUUGAGUGCCGGAGAGGUAAGCGGAAUUCCUAGUGUAGCGGUGAAAUGCGUAGAUAUUAGGAGGAACACCAGUGGCGAAGGCGGCUUACUGGACGGUAACUGACGUUGAGGCUCGAAAGCGGUGGGGAAGCAAACA